This 301-nucleotide ribosomal RNA is filed under the name uncultured bacterium. RNAcentral describes it as "partial 16S ribosomal RNA". It matches the Rfam family "Bacterial small subunit ribosomal RNA", at positions 509 to 807 of the family's 1533-position model. The record is from RNAcentral.
CAGUAGCCGCGGGAAUACGAAGGGUGCAAGCGUUAAUCGGAAUUACUGGGCGUAAAGCGCACGUAGGCGGAUAUUUAAGUCAGGGGUGAAAUCCCGCAGCUCAACUGCGGAACUGCCUUUGAUACUGGGUAUCUUGAGUAUGGAAGAGGUUAGUGGAAUUGCGAGUGUAGAGGUGAAAUUCGUAGAUAUUCGCAGGAACACCAGUGGCGAAGGCGGCUAACUGGUCCAUAACUGACGCUGAGGUGCGAAAGCGUGGGGAGCAAACAGGAUUAGAUACCCCCGUAGUCCCUGUCUCUUAUAC